RNAcentral lists this small RNA (105 nucleotides) under Sinorhizobium meliloti 2011. Its description in RNAcentral is "putative ncRNA". Lineage: Bacteria; Pseudomonadati; Pseudomonadota; Alphaproteobacteria; Hyphomicrobiales; Rhizobiaceae. The record is from RNAcentral.
GCGCGUUCACGGGAUAACGGAAAGCCCCAACUGCCGCCCGGGCGCGCGAGGGUCGCAGAGCGACGCCGCCCCAGCCCCAUCUGCAUCGCUCUGCGACCCUCGCCU